RNAcentral lists this long non-coding RNA (314 nucleotides) under Cricetulus griseus (Chinese hamster). RNAcentral describes it as "lncRNA (ENSCGRG00015031204.1)". Lineage: Eukaryota; Metazoa; Chordata; Mammalia; Rodentia; Cricetidae. The record is from RNAcentral.
CGAAUAAUGAGGACCAUGUAAGAACCCAGGGAGAGCAUUCCAGUAGGGAGCACUUAUGAGUACAAAGGCCUUGAGGGACUGAUGCUGUACAUGCCCUUGCUUGUACACACUGGAGCAAGCUCUAAUCAGCUGAUUAUGAAUCUACCAGUUCAAUGUGGGAAGAAGCAAGGUCCUUGCUUGCCCAGGGUUCUUGAAUGUAAUGCACUGUUGGCCUAGAUGCUCACUUCAGGAAGCCACUACUCAAAGAAGGCCUCUGGCAAGUUUCUUUGUGCUAUGGCUACAGCAGGACCUGAGAAGCUAUUGUGUCCCAAGAU